AAGGAUCAUUACAGAGUUCAUGCCCUCACGGGUAGAUCUCCCACCCUUGAAUAUUAUACCUUAGUUGCUUUGGCAGGCCGGGGCAACCCCCGGGGCUUCGACCUUGGUGUGCCUGCCAGAGGAAACAAACUCUGUUUUUAGUGAUGUCUGAGUACUAUAUAAUAGUUAAAACUUUCAACAACGGAUCUCUUGGUUCUGGCAUCGAUGAAGAACGCAGCGAAAUGCGAUAAGUAAUGUGAAUUGCAGAAUUCAGUGAAUCAUCGAAUCUUUGAACGCACAUUGCGCCCCGUGGUAUUCCGCGGGGCAUGCCUGUUCGAGCGUCAUUUCAACCCAUCAAGCUUCGGCUUGGUCUUGGGGCCUGCGAUUCCGCAGCCUCUAAACCCAGUGGCGGUGCCUCCGAGCUCUGAGCGUAGUAAUUCUUCUCGCUAUAGGGUCUCGGUGGUGUCUUGCCAGUAACCCCCAAUUUUUUACAGGUUGACCUCGGAUCAGGUAGGGAUACCCGCUGAACUUAAGCAUAUCAAUAAGCGGAGGAAAAGAAACCAACAGGGAUUACCUCAGUAACGGCGAGUGAAGCGGUAACAGCUCAAAUUUGAAAUCUGCCGCAAGGCCGAGUUGUAAUUUGUAGAAGAUGCUUUGGGUAUGGCCCCGGUCUAAGUUCGUUGGAACACGACGUCAUAGAGGGUGAGAAUCCCGUAUGUGACUGGGUGCUUUUGCCUAUGUAAAGCUCUUUCGACGAGUCGAGUUGUUUGGGAAUGCAGCUCAAAAUGGGUGGUAUAUUUCAUCUAAAGCUAAAUAUUGGCCAGAGACCGAUAGCGCACAAGUAGAGUGAUCGAAAGAUGAAAAGCACUUUGGAAAGAGAGUUAAACAGUACGUGAAAUUGUUGAAAGGGAAGCGCUUGCAACCAGACUUGCACGCUGUUGAUCAUCCAGGCUUCUGUCUGGUGCACUCGGCAGCGUUCAGGCUAGCAUCGGUUCUGGUGGUGGGAUAAAGGCCUUGGGAAUGUAGCUUCUUUCGGGGAGUGUUAUAGCCCUCGGUGCAAUGCCGCCUAUCGGGACCGAGGACCGCGCUUCUGCUAGGAUGCUGGCGUAAUGGUUGUAAGCGAC
Molecule: ribosomal RNA, 1103 nt
Filed under: uncultured Lemonniera
Lineage: Eukaryota; Fungi; Ascomycota
Description: eukaryotic LSU rRNA
Rfam family: Eukaryotic large subunit ribosomal RNA (bases 476-1103)
Source: RNAcentral